This 614-nucleotide ribosomal RNA is filed under the name Cutibacterium acnes. RNAcentral describes it as "bacterial SSU rRNA". It matches the Rfam family "Bacterial small subunit ribosomal RNA", at positions 199 to 800 of the family's 1533-position model. The record is from RNAcentral. Lineage: Bacteria; Bacillati; Actinomycetota; Actinomycetes; Propionibacteriales; Propionibacteriaceae.
GCUGAAAGACGGUUUCGGCUGUCACUUACAGAUGGGCCCGCGGCGCAUUAGCUAGUUGGUGAGGUAACGGCUCACCAAGGCCACGAUGCGUAGCCGACCUGAGAGGGUGAUCGGCCACACUGGGACUGAGACACGGCCCAGACUCCUACGGGAGGCAGCAGUAGGGAAUCUUCCGCAAUGGACGAAAGUCUGACGGAGCAACGCCGCGUGAGCGAUGAAGGCCUUCGGGUCGUAAAGCUCUGUUGUUAGGGAAGAACAAGUAUCGGAGUAACUGCCGGUACCUUGACGGUACCUAACCAGAAAGCCACGGCUAACUACGUGCCAGCAGCCGCGGUAAUACGUAGGUGGCAAGCGUUGUCCGGAAUUAUUGGGCGUAAAGCGCGCGCAGGUGGUUCCUUAAGUCUGAUGUGAAAGCCCACGGCUCAACCGUGGAGGGUCAUUGGAAACUGGGGAACUUGAGUGCAGAAGAGGAAAGUGGAAUUCCACGUGUAGCGGUGAAAUGCGUAGAGAUGUGGAGGAACACCAGUGGCGAAGGCGACUUUCUGGUCUGUAACUGACACUGAGGCGCGAAAGCGUGGGGAGCGAACAGGAUUAGAUACCCUGGUAGUCCACGC